AGCGAACGCUGGCGGCAGGCUUAACACAUGCAAGUCGAACGCAUCCUUCGGGGUGAGUGGCAGACGGGUGAGGAACACGUGGGAACAUCCCUUUCAGUUCGGAACAACGUUGGGAAACUAACGCUAAUACCGGAUACGUCCUUCGGGAGAAAGAUUUAUCGCUGAAAGAUUGGCCCGCGUCUGAUUAGCUAGUUGGUGAGGUAAUGGCUCACCAAGGCUACGAUCAGUAGCUGAUCUGAGAGGAUGAUCAGCCACAUUGGGACUGAGACACGGCCCAAACUCCUACGGGAGGCAGCAGUGGGGAAUAUUGGACAAUGGGCGCAAGCCUGAUCCAGCCAUGCCGCGUGAGUGAUGACGGCCUUCGGGUUGUAAAGCUCUUUUGUCCGGGAAGAUAAUGACUGUACCGGAAGAAUAAGCCCCGGCAAACUUCGUGCCAGCAGCCGCCGUAA
This 449-nucleotide ribosomal RNA is filed under the name uncultured bacterium. RNAcentral's name for it is "partial 16S ribosomal RNA". It matches the Rfam family "Bacterial small subunit ribosomal RNA", at positions 29 to 523 of the family's 1533-position model. The record is from RNAcentral.